GUGAGGAAUAUUGGUCAAUGGGCGAGAGCCUGAACCAGCCAAGUCGCGUGAAGGAAGAAGGAUCUAUGGUUCGUAAACUUCUUUUGCAGGGGAAUAAAGUGCGGGACGUGUCCUGUUUUGUAUGUACCCUGAGAAUAAGGAUCGGCUAACUCCGUGCCAGCAGCCGCGGUAAUACGGAGGAUCCGAGCGUUAUCCGGAUUUAUUGGGUUUAAAGGGUGCGUAGGUGGUUUGAUAAGUCAGCGGUGAAAGUUUGCAACUUAACUGUAAAAAUGCCGUUGAAACUGUCGGACUUGAGUGUAAAUGAGGUAGGCGGAAUGCGUGGUGUAGCGGUGAAAUGCAUAGAUAUCACGCAGAACUCCGAUUGCGAAGGCAGCUUACUAAGCUACAACUGACACUGAAGCACGAAAGCGUGGGGAUCAAACAGGAUUAGAUACCCCUGUAGUCC
This 445-nucleotide ribosomal RNA is filed under the name uncultured bacterium. RNAcentral describes it as "partial 16S ribosomal RNA". It matches the Rfam family "Bacterial small subunit ribosomal RNA", at positions 354 to 796 of the family's 1533-position model. The record is from RNAcentral.